AUUAUUCAAGUUGGUGUUGUUAUUGUGUGUAAAGUUGGUGCUGUUAUCCAUGCGGUUGCUAUGUGGAGUGUUUAGACCUGAGCCCGUCAUCAACGUCACGGAUUAAGGAGUCACGUGACCGGUAAAGGAGGCCGUGUAGAAGACCUUUGGUCAAUGGAAUAAAACGGAAAAAUGUAUCAACCGAACCAAAGCGUGGAAGUCUGUUUUCUCUACACCUGCUGAACGCCAGGUACCACAUACCUUCAUUAAAAUCAGAUGCAUCUGAGCCUCAGCAGCUGCUGUUAAUGGCUACACAAUGAAGGCCCAAUUACAGAUAAUUAGGUAGGGUGU
Long non-coding RNA from Ictalurus punctatus (channel catfish), 330 nucleotides. The record is from Ensembl. NCBI's taxonomy places the organism in Eukaryota, Metazoa, Chordata, Actinopteri, Siluriformes, Ictaluridae.